Molecule: ribosomal RNA, 405 nt
Filed under: uncultured bacterium
Lineage: Bacteria
Description: partial 16S ribosomal RNA
Rfam family: Bacterial small subunit ribosomal RNA
Source: RNAcentral
GACGAACGCUGGCGGCGUGCUUAACACAUGCAAGUCGAACGAGUGGCGAACGGGUGAGUACUACGUGGGUAACCAGCCCUCUUUGUGGGAGAAGCCUUGGACACGGGGUCUAAUACCGAAGAAAGGGGGAUGGGCGCGCGGCAUCUCAGCUUGGUGGUGGGGUGCUGGCCUACCCAGGCGGUGACGGGUAGCCGGCGUGAGCGGGUGACCGGCCCCAUGGGGACUGGGUGACGGCCCAGCGUCCUACGGGAGGCAGCAGUGGGGAAUAUUGACCAAUGUGCGAAAGCCUGAUGCAGCGCCGCCGCGUGGGGGAUGAAGGCUUUCGGGUUGUAAACCUCUUUCGCUAGCGAAGGGUAGGUGGAGAAGAAGCGCCGGCUAACUACGUGCCAGCAGCCGCGGUAAUAC